UAGGGAAUCUUCCGCAAUGGGCGAAAGCCUGACGGAGCAACGCCGCGUGAGUGAUGAAGGUCUUCGGAUCGUAAAACUCUGUUAUUAGGGAAGAACAAAUGUGUAAGUAACUAUGCACGUCUUGACGGUACCUAAUCAGAAAGCCACGGCUAACUACGUGCCAGCAGCCGCGGUAAUAUGUAGGUGGCAAGCGUUAUCCGGAAUUAUUGGGCGUAAAGCGCGCGUAGGCGGUUUUUUAAGUCUGAUGUGAAAGCCCACGGCUCAACCGUAGAGGGUCAUUGGAAACUGGAAAACUUGAGUGCAGAAGAGGAAAGUGGAAUUCCAUGUGUAGCGGUGAAAUGCGCAGAGAUAUGGAGGAACACCAGUGGCGAAGGCGACUUUCUGGUCUGUAACUGACGCUGAUGUGCGAAAGCGUGGGGAUCAAACAGG
This 429-nucleotide ribosomal RNA is filed under the name Actinomycetes bacterium. Its description in RNAcentral is "Actinobacteria bacterium partial 16S ribosomal RNA". It matches the Rfam family "Bacterial small subunit ribosomal RNA", at positions 355 to 776 of the family's 1533-position model. The record is from RNAcentral. Lineage: Bacteria; Bacillati; Actinomycetota; Actinomycetes.